Molecule: microRNA precursor, 102 nt
Filed under: Marmota monax (woodchuck)
Lineage: Eukaryota; Metazoa; Chordata; Mammalia; Rodentia; Sciuridae
Source: RNAcentral
AAUGGGAUAACUGGGUCAAAUGGUGGCUCCAUUCCAAAUUUUCUGAGAAAUCUCCAGACUGCUUUCCAGAGUAGUUGCACAAAUUGCCAUCCCACCAGCAAU